RNAcentral lists this ribosomal RNA (568 nucleotides) under uncultured bacterium. Its description in RNAcentral is "bacterial SSU rRNA". It matches the Rfam family "Bacterial small subunit ribosomal RNA", at positions 334 to 920 of the family's 1533-position model. The record is from RNAcentral.
GCUUCCUACGGGAGGCAGCAGUGGGGAAUCUUGCGCAAUGGGCGAAAGCCUGACGCAGCCAUGCCGCGUGAAUGAUGAAGGUCUUAGGAUUGUAAAAUUCUUUCACCGGGGACGAUAAUGACGGCACCCGGAGAAGAAGCUCCGGCUAACUUCGUGCCAGCAGCCGCGGUAAUACGAAGGGGGCUAGCGUUGCUCGGAAUUACUGGGCGUAAAGGGAGCGUAGGCGGACAGUUAAGUCAGAGGUGAAAGCCCAGGGCUCAACCCUGGAAUUGCCUUUGAUACUGAUUGUCUUGAGUAUGGGAGAGGUAUGCGGAACUCCGAGUGUAGAGGUGAAAUUCGUAGAUAUUCGGAAGAACACCAGUGGCGAAGGCGGCAUACUGGCCCAUUACUGACGCUGAGGCUCGAAAGCGUGGGGAGCAAACAGGAUUAGAUACCCUGGUAGUCCACGCCGUAAACGAUGAGUGCUAGUUGUCGGCAUGCAUGCAUGUCGGUGACGCAGCUAACGCAUUAAGCACUCCGCCUGGGGAGUACGGUCGCAAGAUUAAAACUCAAAGGAAUUGACGGAAGC